This 282-nucleotide unclassified non-coding RNA is filed under the name Pleosporales sp. RNAcentral's name for it is "partial contains 5.8S ribosomal RNA, internal transcribed spacer 2, and large subunit ribosomal RNA". The stretch from base 1 to 71 matches the Rfam family "5.8S ribosomal RNA", at positions 84 to 154 of the family's 154-position model. Lineage: Eukaryota; Fungi; Ascomycota; Dothideomycetes; Pleosporales. The record is from RNAcentral.
GUGAGUCAUCGAAUCUUUGAACGCACAUUGCGCCCUUCGGUAUUCCGUUGGGCAUGCCUGUUCGAGCGUCAUUUAAACCUUCAAGCAUAGCUUGGUGUUGGGUGCUUGUCCUCCCCCGCGGUGGACUCACCUCAAAUGCAUUGGCGGCCGGUAUGUUGGCUUCGAGCGCAGUACAACGCGCAAGGCGUCUUGACAUGCUGGUCCUCCACAAGACCUUUUUAAGCUUGACCUCGGAUCAGGUAGGGAUACCCGCUGAACUUAAGCAUAUCAAUAAGCGGAGGA